This 497-nucleotide ribosomal RNA is filed under the name uncultured bacterium. RNAcentral describes it as "partial 16S ribosomal RNA". It matches the Rfam family "Bacterial small subunit ribosomal RNA", at positions 28 to 507 of the family's 1533-position model. The record is from RNAcentral.
GAUGAACGCUGGCGGCGUGCCUAAUACAUGCAAGUCGAGCGAACGGACGAGAAGCUUGCUUCUCUGAUGUUAGCGGCGGACGGGUGAGUAACACGUGGAUAACCUACCUAUAAGACUGGGAUAACUUCGGGAAACCGGAGCUAAUACCGGAUAAUAUUUUGAACCGCAUGGUUCAAAAGUGAAAGACGGUCUUGCUGUCACUUAUAGAUGGAUCCGCGCUGCAUUAGCUAGUUGGUAAGGUAACGGCUUACCAAGGCAACGAUGCAUAGCCGACCUGAGAGGGGGAUCGGCCCACCCGGAACUGGAGAACCGUCCCGACUCCUACGGGAGGGAGCAGUAGGGAAUCUUCCGCCAUGGGCGGAAGCCUGACCGAACAACGCCGCGGGGGUGAAUGAAGGCCUCGGGUCGGAAAACUCUUUUAAUAGGGAAAAACAAAAUUGUAAAUAAACGUGGCCAACCUGAAGGGACCUAAACAGAAAGCCACGGCUAACUACGUG